Molecule: ribosomal RNA, 253 nt
Filed under: uncultured bacterium
Lineage: Bacteria
Description: partial 16S ribosomal RNA
Rfam family: Bacterial small subunit ribosomal RNA
Source: RNAcentral
UACGUAGGGGGCAAGCGUUGUCCGGAAUCACUGGGCGUAAAGAGCUCGUAGGCGGCUUGUCGCGUCGACUGUGAAAACUCGGGGCUCAACUCCGAGCUUGCAGUCGAUACGGGCAGGCUAGAGUUCGGUAGGGGAGACUGGAAUUCCUGGUGUAGCGGUGAAAUGCGCAGAUAUCAGGAGGAACACCGGUGGCGAAGGCGGGUCUCUGGGCCGAUACUGACGCUGAGGAGCGAAAGCGUGGGGAGCGAACAGG